UCUGUGUCACUCUCUCAGCAAAGCAAAGAGAGAGAGAGAGAGAGAUUCCAAGUUUCCAACAAAAAGAAGAGAGAAAAGAGAGAGAGAGAUGAUGGGGGUGGGGGAGAGAGAGAGAGAGAGAGGAGUUUGAGAGAGAUUGUACGGUAAUGGUGACUCUUCAGAUUCCUCAGUUUAAUCAGUCUUUCUCUCUCUUAAACUAACUUUCUCUCUUUAUAAAUAAACUAGUACAAUAUUAUGCUAUUUAUGAUUAUCGUUGUAAAAGGACAAUUUUUUUUUUUUCCUUCUACUUCUCUUUGUAAUCAGUUUUUUAGUGUUCAGAUCUGUGUUGUUUGAUACCAUUUGGUUAUUGGGUUUUGUAAAAAUUUGUACUUGAAUAUAUGUUUGAUCUAGCAAUUUUACUCAUUUCAUGAAUGUUUUUAGUUUUUUAAGUUUUUAUGACUUUGUUGUCAGAAAAAAAAUAAAAGGCAAAAGAGAGAUUUUUUUUUUUUUUUUUUUUCUCUGUUGGGUUAGUUAAGCUUAUGGGGUAGUUGUGGUAGUUGAGCGUGAAGUCACUGGAGGCAGCGGUUCAUCGAUCUCUUCCUGGGAAUUUGUUGUGACACUAAAACAAACAUGAAUCGGUCGAUAAACCUCUGCAUCCAGCGCUCACCUCUCUCUUUCUUCUUUGUGUCAUCUUUUGGCAUUUAUGGAAUCAUAUAUUUUUGUGUUUUGUUGCUGAAAAAUUUGAAGUGAGGCAACAGAAAAUGAUAUAGUUUGGUCUUUUUUACUAGUUGGGAUGCAAAUGAAGAAGGAUAAAAGGGGAAUCUUUGCUUAAUUGAGCCUUCUAGUCUGGUUUUUUUUGUAUUUACUUCACUUGGGAAUUAUAAAGAUCAUCAAAACACUAAAUGGGUACCUUCUCUCUUUUGUAAAAAAGCAAGGGAAGGUUGAAUUUUGUUGAUGGGGCUCAAGACCCUCCUGCUGCAUGUAUUACUUACUAAGAAAAAAGAAAAGAAAAAAGAAGAGUUUAAAACAUUUGGGUUCAAAUACUAGUUUUCUGGAAUAUGCCUCUAUUUUUUGCCUUUUCUUUUAAUUUUUGCACCACUAAUACUUUUUAGUGCAUUGUUUUGUGUUAUGAGCUUAUGAUAUGUUGUUGAGUAAUUUGCAGGUUAUGAGAUGAAUAAAUUUUGAACCGGUCGGUUUUGAGGAAAGUUGCCUUUGCCUUCAAAGAUUGUGGUUGUAAAGUUACUACUUGUUUCUUUCUUUCUCUGAUACGGGGAAAGGUAUCUUUGAAAUAAAGUUUGAAGUGGGAGACAUAAUAUCGUCAUUCCUAUGUGAAAGUGUGGGAAAAUCACAAUCGAGUACAAGUUGGCAGAGUAUCCUCUAUGCAGAUGCUCACUAGUAGAAUCUGGUAUCAAAUUCCUUGUACCAAGCUUAGAAUGGAAAUCAAUAAAAGUAGAAAUGACUCUACUAUACAAAGCAAAACUCUUUUUAAGUUUUUGGUUCAAGUAACACAUGUAUCAGCUAGAAAAGUAAGGGAGGAAAUGAAACUAACGCAAGCUGUCAAUAUUCCAUCAUUUUGGUUCCUUGUGCUGAUUCAUUUUGUUGAAGAACCUGCCAUAGUGAAAUCAUCCUAAUAUAAUGGCAUUAGAAAAAAAUUUCAUUUUCAUU
This is a long non-coding RNA of Quercus lobata, 1644 nucleotides long. RefSeq lists it as uncharacterized. NCBI's taxonomy places the organism in Eukaryota, Viridiplantae, Streptophyta, Magnoliopsida, Fagales, Fagaceae. The transcript is spliced from 2 exons. The record is from RefSeq and is a predicted model, not a curated record.